Molecule: long non-coding RNA, 5489 nt
Filed under: Homo sapiens (human)
Lineage: Eukaryota; Metazoa; Chordata; Mammalia; Primates; Hominidae
Description: HSALNT0232425
Source: RNAcentral
UGCGUCUCAGUUUGCCUCAGACUUAAGUGGCUGGUGGAAGUGAGAGAUCUCUAAAGAUUCACCCAAUCCCAUUGUUCUAAGGUAAUAAAUCCUAUAAUUGCUGUAUCCUCAGAACCCAGCACGGGGCACUGCAUACGGUAGAUCUGCUUAACCAUGUACCAAAUGCAUCCGCCUCUUCCCCAACAUCCAUUACUACUGGAACCCACCAAGAACUGAAUUCCAUGGUACUUCUCAGGAUUCUUGAGGUCUGGACUAAGCCCUGGAUUGGGAAAGACGUGUUUAUGAUGCAGACCAGUUGGGGAGAUUUUUCUUGAAGGAGCAGCAGCUUGGGAAUAGCUGACCUGCACCUGUCAUUCUGGAUAAGGAUAGCAUGUUCAUAAAAGGGAAAUGAGUGGAGAAGGAGGGAAGGAGUUGUGAGCAAAGCAUUUAAAGCGUUGCCAGAAUAUAAGCAACAGUGCUUCAUGUCGUGAAAAACUGAGAAAAGGAGUCUUUAUGUACAGGAAGAACUCAGCAGCUGACCUCAAGAAGAAAGGAAAACAUCCUCUCUUCACUUUUCUCUGGGAUGCCUGUGCCCAGGGUCUUGAGUUUCCGACUGGGGCAUAAUGGAUUUUUGGUGGCCUGUGACUUUAUUAUGGGUCUUUUCCCAAAGUGUUUUGAAAUGGUAUGAAAGAGUGUAUUCAGUUAGAAACCUUGAGUUCUACUCCCAGGCUACUUAGAGGUUGUUUUGCAAACUUGAACAAGUCAAGUAAACCUGACUUCAACUCUACGCAAUGGAUUAUGCAAUGGUUGAAGUUCUAAGCUUGGAAGUUUCCAAUGAGAACAAAUAGGGGUGGUGAGAGCUGCCCUGCCCCUUUCAGGGACAUUAAGAGGGUCACCAGGCAGGUGAAUGUGACAGUGCCCUAAAGUUAUGAAGAAAUCUGUGCAAAACUGUAUGUUGUUAUAGUUCUUCUUGGGGCUGAUGCACCGUGACCCCUUCAACAGUUGAUGAAUCAUGGGAUAAUUGUUGAUGAGUCAUGGGAUAGGUGCUGCUUCAAGGGAUGUGGAUGUAGGUUGGACAGAGGCCGACCCCAACUCUCUACUCAUUUGCACUGUGCAUGGCAAAUUUGUUCUGGGAGUUUCUGCUUUGCUCCUGUCUUAAGCCAUCAGACCACGUGUUCAGUAGUCCAGCCCUGGCCACAGCCUCUCUGCCUGGCUGGGCCCAGGCUACUUCUAAACUCUCUGUUUUUUUUAUUUUAUUUUAUUUUUAUUUUUUUUUAUUUCAGAUUUUAUCCAACAUGGAUGUCUUGAUCCAAGAGAAAAAAAGGGAUCCCUUCAAAGUCCUUUCCCCAGUUUCCUGCUUAGUCCCACUCCUAGAGCCCUAGGGGGUUCUGUAGCUCCUCUAUAUUUUCAGGGAACUGAGCUGAAGCCAAUACGAGAUUUUAAAAGAUACCCUAUCCUUAAGCAAAGUGAGUGAUGGUGCUCAGCAUCCAUGCCAACGGUCAAAUUUUGGCUGUUUUAUUCACAUAUCUAUGUAAUUUGUAGUUUUUUGGGGGGUGGGGUGGAGGUGGCUGGACCAACAACAAACAGCUAAUCUAAAUGAGACAUUCCUGGAAAAUGAGGCACAUAAAGCUUUCUCUUUUCAUAUCCAAAAUGGAAUAAACAAUUCCACCAGCGACCACAGGAAUGCUGCUGGGGCACGAGGGCUUCAGCCUUCCUGAUGGUCAGGCACUGACUUUAAGCUUAGACUCUAGAAUUUGUUAAUGAGAGGCCCUCCUGGACAGGAAGGAAGGAGGCUUGCUUGGGGUCUGAUCUGUAAAGCACACUGGUGGAAGCUGUUUACAUGCAGCUACACAAGAGGCUUCUUCCUGAGUACCAGGCCACCCUCAGUAAGGCACUGAGUGAGCACCAGGCAUCACCAGGAAUGAGGUCUCUGCCCCAGUCCUGGCCAAAUGGAAUAAGCAAACAGACUGAGGGUGUGUCAGUGGCUUUCCUGAGUUCCCGCACCUGGUAAAUGAUGGAGUUUAGACUUGAAAAUUCUGCCUCCUGUCUCCAGGUCCAGGGAUCUCUCUGGGACGUCAGAGAAGUCAGUUAAUCUCUGCCACUCCUUCCUACCUGGAUGUUCAAUGAAAAGCCUGUUGGGCUUUCUGAGGACUAGAAGGGGGACACUGCCGAGAAUUCAGUGAGGCCAGCCCACACCCCCACCCCUUCUAGGAGAUUACCUUUAGAUCCUCCAGCCCCAGUCUGCAGCCUCCUGGGCUGAUGCUUUCUUUCUCUAUUUACAGACACUAAUCAUUUCCCAUGCAAUUGAACAACUUAAUAAGCUGCGAAAAUUUGAUAAGACAAUUUAAUUGUCGGCUUUUACAUAUCUGCUCAAUAUAGUUGGGUUUCUAGGGAAGGUGAGUGGGGAAUGUGAGCAGAGGCACUUAAUUAAAGAACUAAAACAGUGGGGCUAGAUUAGAGAGAACUCUGGCAGACACCAACCCUGGACCUACGUCUCUUCUCUCCCCCUUUCACAUGGGCCCUUUCUUUGAAAUUUUAUAAGCUCCAUCCUCUGGGUAGUAGCAAAAUAGAGAUGCAGGCCCAGGCACUUGAUGUGCAGUGUGGGGAGCUGACUUUGCAUGGGGCGGCUCCCAACUGUUAUCGGGGAGCUUUUUCUCGGGCCCAAAGUGGUUGGGUUUUAAGGGGAAGACCUAAUUCUGCGUGUAUGGUCGUAGCUCAAAGGGAUAGUUCAAAAUGGCCUCCUCAUUGAUGGGGAAGGAUGGGGGCUGAUUAUAAAAAAUUAUAAUCAUUUUUUUGGUCUUUUCCUCUAUCUUUUUGGGGAAUUUUAUGGCCAUUUGGGCAAUGCUGCAUCAUGGAGUAUUGAUGCCAAUUUUAAAUCACACAUCCUCAUUUUAUCUAAUUGAAUUCUCAUGCUAACUCUGAAAGGAAUAGGAAUCAUUAUUCCUAUUUCACAGGUGCAGAUCCUGAGACUCAGAGAGGUUAAGAAACUCGCCCAACGCCACACAGCUAGAUAAACACCUCAGGAUUUAAAUAGAUUGCAGGGGACACCAACAAGGCUCUGCUCAGAUCCCCUCAGAUCCCUCUGGCCCAUCUGUGCAUGCAGUAACAUCUGCUUCACCGUUGACUGCUUGAACCUGUGGAUCCACUUCACCUAAGAGCACAGAGAGCUGAAAGGGCCUGGAAUCCUGUUGCCUCCCGGGCAGCCUGCAGCCAAUGAGUAACUGGUGCUGGAAAACAGAAGGCUGCUCCCUUGCUGGAGGUAGGACAAACACUGAGGUGUAAUCUAUGCUCCAGGGUCCCCCAGGGGAUCAGGCUGAGGUUGGGACUUUGCCUAAAAUCCCACCCUUGCUUGGUUUCUUCCCUUUCCCUGUUUUUCCUUCUUCUCUCACUCUCUCAUUUCUGUUCCUUCUUCCUUAAAUAAAUCUCCUGCACACAAAUUCUCAUCUCAAGGUGUGCCUCUGGGCAGCCUGAUGUGAGAUACAGAUGUGUGUUUGACCUCAGCCUGCCCUUUCUGGAGUCCUGCAGCCUCGCCCCUUGUUUUGUGGGGUUAUCAGAUCUCGCUACGUAGACUCGGGGUACGGAAUACAUCCAGCUUGGAAUUUCUGGGUGCUCGCAAGUUCUCAGUAGAACGCUCUUGGAAUGAAUUACUUAGCCUCUUUAGGCUGCAGUUUCAUCACCUAUAAGACAGAAAUAGUAAUUGUAUUGCUCUUAAAGGACUUUUACUUUGUGGAAAGCCAAUGAGUCUGCAUAUGUAGAACACAGCAGCGAGCACAUAGUAAGUGGUCGAUAAAUCUUCAUGAUUAUGAUUAUCAGUAUUCAAGUAUUUGCCAUCUCGUCAGACCUUGGCUUGUAGUUGGGAGUCAGAAAUGAGGUCACUGUGCUGUGAGUUCUUGUUGGGCAGGAAUCUGCCAUGUGUUCCGUGCACUUUAAGCACUUAUUAAAACAUUUCGGAUAGAAACAUUUUCACAAAGGCUGCUCAUUACUGUAGCCAGCAUUUGCCUACGAAUGUCAGGAAAACCAUUUUAUGAUGUUGCUGUAAUGUGUCGUGUUCACUGUCGCAUUCUCUCUUUCGGUCUCCCUUUCACUGGUGAGACACGUUUGCCAAGCAUUUCACAAAUGCAGUGGGGGGAAAAGGGAAGAGAGGAAGAGAUGGGAAAAGGAUAGUGAAGGGAGGAGCAGGAGCAGGCAGCUCGGCGGCAUUCCCCAGGCACCGCAUUAAGGGCCUGAUUAACUUAAAAUAUUUCCCAGCUUCUGAGGCACUUGAUUAAAGUCAAUUGGGGGGAAAGAAGAUAAGCUCUUACAAGGGCUAAUUUGAGGCUUAGAAAACUUGAAUAUGUCUAAAUCUCAAAUUGUCGGGUGUGUAGCGCUGGUGAUUGUCGGGUCUGUGGGGAGAGCGUUUUAACAUGCUGGCGGUGCAUCCGCGGUACCACCUGUCCCAGCUCCCUGGUCCCCACCCUUCCUCCAGGCAACUGCCUUGCGUCCCCUCCCAUCUUCCCUUUUCUUCCGCUUGUGAGGGCUUAGACGAUUUUGCCUUUUGAAGGCACGGAAAUAGAUGGCUUUACAUUCAGAACACAGCCUCUGCCUCCUUCUUCCUCCCCCAGAUGCCUGGAAAAAUCAAAAUCGGGGUUUAGCAAUGCAGUCCCGUGGCACUCUCUUGAUGUGUUAAUGGGUCGUGCUUGCUGCACUGCCGUCCCAGCCGCCAGGGACACUGUGAUAUGGGCAGAGUUCGCCCUUCCCCAUCAGUGCAGGUGGCAAGGAGCCAGGCAGGGAGCAAUUGUUUUCCUGUCAUGAACCACACUGGGCUAACUUUUGAUCUUUGACAGGGAAUUUCCUGCAAAGAUGCAGAGAGAGCAGGGCUGUAGUCCAGGCCGAUCUGCUCAGCACAGUGAGGAAUCAGGUCUGGGAGGCGUGUUUUGUUGCCACUGGAUGCUGUAUUAGUUUUCUAUUGCUGUAUAACUAAUCACCACAAAUUUAAUGGCUUAAAGCAACGCCCAUUUAUUCGUAUACAGUUUUGUAGGUCAGAAGUCCAGCAUGGUAUGGCUGAAUUCUCUGCUCAGGGUAUCAUAAGACUGAUAUUAAGGUACAGGCUGGAUUGAGUCCUCUACUGGGAGCUCUGGGGAGACAUCUAUUUCCAAGCUCACUCAAAGUAUUGACAGAAUUGGCUUCUUAUGGGUGAAGGACUGGAGUCUGUUUCCUUGCUGGAGGUCAAUCAGGAGCCUCUGUGAGCAACGUAAGGCCACUCACAUUCCUUUUCCUGGGGUCGCCCGCAUCUUCAAACCAACAAAGACAUAGCAAAUCCCCUUGUGCCUCAAAUCUUUCUGAUUCCUCUUCUGCCACCAGCUGGAGAAAAUUCUGCUUUUAAAUGGCUCAUCUGAUUGGGUCAGGCCCACCCAGAUAACCGCUGCUUUUUAAGGUCUGUUGAUUUGGGACUUUACAUCUACAAAAUCCCUUUACCGCAGUACCUCGAUUAGCAUUGGAGUAACUAGGGGACCAGAAUGUUGGGAGUGGGG